Molecule: long non-coding RNA, 3206 nt
Filed under: Mus musculus (house mouse)
Lineage: Eukaryota; Metazoa; Chordata; Mammalia; Rodentia; Muridae
Description: lincRNA-EC51
Source: RNAcentral
AUAUCCGCAGGGCGGAGCGAGCACUCAGUAAGAAAGGAUAGCUUUUCUCCCUUUUCUGCUUCGCUCCCAACUAAGAAUGCAGAGUCAGGGAGAUGGCGCAGAGACAAUGCUGCUGUCCAUUGAAGCCCUCCAAAGGUCGGAGAUUCGAUCACAGGACAGCCUGGCCUGGACCAAGUCAGGUUGAUAUGGCUAGGCGGCCUGCUGGCGAGAUAGUGGGAGUGGGCGGUCCGCCCCUCAGGACCUCUGACUUGGACAGAUGACUGGAUGACUCUCUGGGGCAGCAUUCACCGGAACUCAUAUGGAGGGGACUGCCUGAGAAACCAACCUGUGUGCCUGGGUCAGGUUGAUAUGGCUAGGCGGCCUGCUGGCGAGAUAGUGGGAGUGGGCGGCCCGCCCCUCAGGACCUCUGACCUGGACAGAUGACUGGAUGACUCUCUGGGGCAGCAUUCACCGGAACUCAUAUGGAGAGGACUGCCUGAGAAACCAACCUGUGUGCCUGGGUCAGGUUGAUAUGGCUAGGCGGCCUGCUGGCGAGAUAGUGGGAGUGGGCGGUCCGCCCCUCAGGACCUCUGACUUGGACAGAUGACUGGAUGACUCUCUGGGGCAGCAUUCACCGGAACUCAUAUGGAGGGGGCUGCCUGAGAAACCAACCUGUGUGCCUGGGUCAGGUUGAUAUGGCUAGGCGGCCUGCUGGCGAGAUAGUGGGAGUGGGCGGUCCGCCCCUCAGGACCUCUGACUUGGACAGAUGACUGGAUGACUCUCUGGGGCAGCAUUCACCGGAACUCAUAUGGAGGGGGCUGCCUGAGAAACCAACCUGUGUGCCUGGGUCAGGUUGAUAUGGCUAGGCGGCCUGCUGGCGAGAUAGUGGGAGUGGGCGGUCCGCCCCUCAGGACCUCUGACUUGGACAGAUGACUGGAUGACUCUCUGGGGCAGCAUUCACCGGAACUCAUAUGGAGGGGGCUGCCUGAGAAACCAACCUGUGUGCCUGGGUCAGGUUGAUAUGGCUAGGCGGCCUGCUGGCGAGAUAGUGGGAGUGGGCGGUCCGCCCCUCAGGACCUCUGACUUGGACAGAUGACUGGAUGACUCUCUGGGGCAGCAUUCACCGGAACUCAUAUGGAGGGGGCUGCCUGAGAAACCAACCUGUGUGCCUGGCCCACCACCUACCAGAGGUAUUGGAAAAGAACGGAUACGGAGGAAGUGGACCCAUUUAGAGGUGAUUAUUUGGAGCAAAUCCCAUCUGCUUUGUCAGUUAUUGAGCAGUUCCGUUCAUAGGCUGGCAAUGGCAGCUUGAUCCACUCUCAAAGUCUUCAUGGAUACACCAGCAGUCCGUUCAGUAAAGUCCAGAUAGCAGCAGUUGCACGACCUAGCAGGAACAACCAGGCCUCAGCUGAAGACAGUAGUCUACAGGAGGCAUUGGACUAGCAUGAAUGUCAGGAGAAACUUACAGCUGUGCCUCUCUUAAGGAAGUGAAGAUCAGUGAAGACAGGAGACCAAAAGGCGUUUAGCUGUGCAAGCAAGCCAAGCCCUUCUCCCAGUCCCUCCAAACAUCACUAGUCCUCCACAGGACUUGUCUCACCAUGUGUUGCCUCAGCAAAACUCACCUUUACAAACACAGCUUUGAAGGCCAGUUUUUUGAGUUAAUAAUGUAAACAAAUGUUAUUCUACGACAAACGUAGAAUUCAAGAGAAAAAUGGAGUAAUGAGUAAACCAGACAUUAAAAAAGAUUCUAUAAAUGAUCGAAUUACCUUUAGGCUACUGCAGCUUAGGUAUAAUGUAAGGGGAGUAAUAAUCUACAAAUAAGCAAAUGAGCCAAGAUGACCAAGAUGGAAAUGGUUUGAUUAGGAAUUUGAUUAGGGAAGUUCUGCCAAGGCAGGGAUAGUUGGGGUGGACACCUUUAGUCCCAGCACUGGGGCUUUAUGCAUGCUAAGGACGAGCUCUAUUGCUGGGCCCCACGCUCUAGAGUCAAUGCUCUAAAAUACUGCACAAACUAAUUCUCAGACAUUAACUGCAGGAAGAAUGCUCUAAUCCUAGAUGAGUGUUUUCAAAACAAAACUUAGCAGCGAAGACCAAAAAAUACAGAAAAAGCACCCAAAACAGACGAAAUGCCAGUUCAUCAGGAAGCCAAAACUUGACAGAAAUAUCUCUCAAAUAACAUUUAAUCUCUCUCCCUUUGUUCUAAUCCUGUCCCCACCCAGCAACCACCUGAUGUGUAAUUUGGUUUUCUAAGUGACCAUAGCCAUCGGUCAGAGACACUAAGCUGGGCCCAAAUAAAAGAAGAAAAUAAAUAAGAAGUUAAAUUAAGUUAAAACCCUUGGGUCUCACUUGAACCAAUAUCUCUUAAAUUUUUGUACAUCGUUGACACCCCUGAGGAUAUUUACAUUUUUCACCUUUAGCGACUAGAAUGUGUAUCAUCUAGCCAGGCAAUGGUACACACCUUUCUUUAAUCCCAAUACUCAGGAGGCAGAGGCAGGUAGAUCCCAGUGUUUGAGGCCAGCCUGGUCUACAGAGAGAGCCUAGGUAGGCCAGGGUUACACAGAGAAACCAAGUCCUAAGAAAAGAGAGGUGUGGGGAAGGGAGAAAUUGUGUAUCACUGUAUGAUCUUUCUUUCCUAAGUUCUACUUGGCUACCUUCUUGUAUGUUCUCAGUAGAUGCUAAUCCUAUUUACAUUGUGGCAUUUUGGUGCUUGUAUUAAGCAAAUCACAAUGGGCCUUCCUUAGGACUGGACUGGAAGGGAACAAUUUCAAUGUCUUUAAGAAGGCAGAGAGAGCCAGAAAAUGGCCGCGGCUAAGAAUUAAGUUUACAAAACCUUCCAGCUGGUAAAUUCCUUACAAAGUACAAAACAGUGUGUAAUUAUUUUCCAAGCGUUUUGUGUGAUUGUCUUUCCAAUCUCCAGUUUAAAAAAGCAGAAAUCAAACCUAGCAGUACAUCUCUGAAGCAAUGACAGCAAUCUAACGUUCCAGAGAAAUGAGGGAGCACGCUGGUUUCACCAGAAUCCAUCCUACCAGUAACGUUAUUCACCGAGAGCUAAGGUCAUGGUUGAUGGUGAACUUUUCCCAUUCUGAAUUUGAUAUGAACAUAACAUUUUAAUAAUAUGAGCAUCUAAGAAACAGACCCAGAUCAAAAGCGGUUUUAACUGGAAACUAAAAUUGCAAUCAGCAGGCACGAUGGUACCUCUUUAUUUUCUCAUUAAAGCUGCCAACAUUCUG